UACGUAGGGUGCAAGCGUUGUCCGGAAUUACUGGGCGUAAAGCGUGCGCAGGCGGUUCGUUAAGUCAGCUGUGAAAGCCCCGGGCUCAACCUGGGAAUUGCGGUUGAAACUGGCGAACUAGAAUCUGGCAGAGGGGGGUGGAAUUCCACGUGUAGCAGUGAAAUGCGUAGAGAUGUGGAGGAACACCGAUGGCGAAGGCAGCCCCCUGGGCUGAGAUUGACGCUCAGGCACGAAAGCGUGGGGAGCAAACAGG
RNAcentral lists this ribosomal RNA (253 nucleotides) under uncultured bacterium. RNAcentral describes it as "partial 16S ribosomal RNA". It matches the Rfam family "Bacterial small subunit ribosomal RNA", at positions 524 to 776 of the family's 1533-position model. The record is from RNAcentral.